CGAGCGGCGUAAGGGGCAGUAAUACCUGGGGACGUACCCUUCAGUCGGGAAUAGCCGCGGGAAACCGCGGGUAAUGCCCGAUGAUUCCGGGAGGACAAAGGCUUGCCGCUGAGGGAGCGGCCCAGGCGCUAUUAGCUAGUUGGCGGGGUAACGGCCCACCAAGGCGAAGAUGGCUAGCGGGUGUGAGAGCACGACCCGCGCCACUGGCACUGAGACACUGGCCAGACACCUACGGGUGGCUGCAGUCGAGGAUCUUCGGCAAUGGGCGCAAGCCUGACCGAGCGACGCCGCGUGCGGGAUGAAGGCCCCCGGGUUGUAAACCGCUUUGGUCCGGGAGUAAGGCGCCUCACGGCGCUUGAACGACCGGAGAAACAAGCACGGGCUAAGUUCGUGCCAGCAGCCGCGGUAAGACGAACCGUGCGAACGUU
This 428-nucleotide ribosomal RNA is filed under the name uncultured bacterium. RNAcentral describes it as "bacterial SSU rRNA". It matches the Rfam family "Bacterial small subunit ribosomal RNA", at positions 92 to 542 of the family's 1533-position model. The record is from RNAcentral.